Molecule: long non-coding RNA, 1455 nt
Organism: Panthera uncia (snow leopard)
Lineage: Eukaryota; Metazoa; Chordata; Mammalia; Carnivora; Felidae
Exons: 4
Source: RefSeq, a predicted model, not a curated record
CAUCUCGUCGUUCUCCAGAGGGAGCGCUAGCCGGACAUCGUGACGCUGCAGGGAAUGAGCCCAAAGUGGUCCCUCCAAGCCCUGCCGUCCAGCCCAGGACUCUCUCAAGUCCCCGAUGAUCUUAUGCUCCUCAGCAUUGUCAGGAGUGAGCUGAAUUCAGACUUACUGAGGUCCCUCAGCCUAUGGGCCAGGGAGACUUUGAGCAACAGGGGCUUUUGUCUCGGAGCGGUCAUUCCUUGUUGUACAAGCAAGAGCUUGGAGGAAGGAUGGUUUGGGCAUCAUCCCCCACUGGUAGCAGUGGAGCCUGUAGGCCUGCAGGGAAGGACCAGGCUGAGGCUGGCAUAUGGAGGGAGAGCCCUGGGCACAGGGGCAUGAGCCUCACCCGGCCAGGGCUACCUUCUGCCGGGUUUGUCCAUCUGGCACCAGCUGGCUUUCCAGCGCGGCCCCCACAGCCAACCGGACUCCUUCUGCUUCUGUUGCCAUAGCAACUGGCUGCCAUCUUGUACUCAGGGCACUAUCUCCUAUCUGGAUUUUCCCAUGGGGUUCCUGGAGGAUGGGACGUAGGUCUCCAGCGAUGUAUCCCUUCCUCCUGAUAGCCAUCCAAUAAGAAUGGCCACGAUGGGGGCCAACGACAUGUCAGGCUCUAUGCUAAGUACUCCCUGUGUGUUAUUUAAUACGGCAGAGAAAGCAUCCAUGUGAUCAAUUUAAAAGGUUCCCAGUUUCUCGUUUCUAUGACAGACCUUUCCUCUCUCCAACCAGGAAACACCACGAUCUUGCUUAUUCUGUCUUGCAAGGUCCUUCCCAGUGUCUGACUGAGACCUGUUCUGCUGAAGUACCAGUUCUCUGACCCUGGGCUUGACAUGGCUAAUUUGAGAGGGCCUCUGGGAGCCAGCCCGGGUCAGGACGAGCGCCAGGAGAAGUCGGAGGCCUCGAGGAGCCCAAGUUCGAGGGAGACAAGUCUUUCCCUUUGGGGAGCUACCAGUACAAUGGGUGCUGAGGCUCCUAGGUCUCCCCACCCCAGGAAGGAAGGGGCUGACCUCGAUUCCACAACCACUUGCUCACGCGAGCCCUCUCGCAGCCGUCUUCUCUGUCAAUCUGCUGACAGGCCUGGAGUGGCUCUGUCCCCCGCUUGGCAAAGCUGCAGUCAGGGCCCCACGAAGGAUGUGUGGGUCACCCCGCGUCACGGGGCUGACCGAAAAGAAGGACUUAUUGUACCCAGCUGGCAUGGGUUCCCUCUGAGAAGCCCUCCUGGAUUGAUCGAAGUGGCAAGACCCCAGCUCCAGCCUGGGCUGCCCGUUACACCCGGAGCCACCCGGGAGAGGACUUCGUCCCACCCUUGCUCCCGUGGCCACCGCUGUCCACCCUGGUCCAUCCCAGUUCCUGUGGCGUCCGAGCUGAGAGUCCUCUGAGAUGGCGGUCCCGUCUCAGAUCUAAUAAAGACUGCUGAAUGUUGAA